This 253-nucleotide ribosomal RNA is filed under the name uncultured bacterium. RNAcentral's name for it is "partial 16S ribosomal RNA". It matches the Rfam family "Bacterial small subunit ribosomal RNA", at positions 524 to 776 of the family's 1533-position model. The record is from RNAcentral.
UACGGGGGGGGCAAGCGUUGUUCGGAAUUACUGGGCGUAAAGGGUUUGUAGGUGGCCUGCUAAGUCAGACGUGAAAUCCCUCAGCUUAACUGGGGAACUGCGUCUGAGACUGGUAGGCUCGAGGACAGGAGAGGAACGCGGAAUUCCAGGUGUAGCGGUGAAAUGCGUAGAUAUCAGGAAGAACACCCGUGGCGAAGGCGGCUCUCUGGGACGGUACUGACGCUGAGACGCGAAAGCGUGGGGAGCGAACAGG